This is a long non-coding RNA of Cydia splendana, 217 nucleotides long. RefSeq lists it as uncharacterized. The transcript has 2 exons. The record is from RefSeq and is a predicted model, not a curated record. NCBI's taxonomy places the organism in Eukaryota, Metazoa, Arthropoda, Insecta, Lepidoptera, Tortricidae.
AUUUACUGCCAUCUUUUGACAGAUGUUUAAAACUUUUAGAACGCCAUUUAACUUUGAUCCUUAUUCUUUCACUGAUAUGUGUUAAAUUUGUUAAAUAUCAAAAAUGAAAGAAUAAGGAUCAAAGUCAAAUGGCGUUCUAAAAGUUUUAAUCAUGUGUCGAAAGAUGGCAGUAAAUUUACUGUGACUACAAAAUUUACUUUGACAAUACACCUCUAUU